GACGAACGCUGGCGGCGUGCUUAACACAUGCAAGUCGAACGGAAAGGCCAUGCUCUUGUGGGGUGCUCGAGUGGCGAACGGGUGAGUAACACGCGAGUAACAUGCCCUUGUAUUUGGGAUAAAUUCAGGAAACUGGGGCUAAUACCGGAUAGGAGCUCCUGCUGCAUGGUGGGGGUUGGAAAGUUUCGGCGGUUGGGGCUGGAUUCGCGGCUUAUCAGCUUGUUGGUGGGGUAGUGGCUUACCAAGGCUUUGACGGGUAGCCGGCCUGAGAGGGUGACCGGCCACAUGGGUACUGAGGUACGGCCCAGACUCCUACGUGAGGCAGCAGUGGGGAAUAUUGCACAAUGGGCGGAAGCCUGAUGCAGCAGCGCCGCGUGCGGGAUGACGGCUUUCGGGUUGUAAACCGCUUUCGCCUGUGACGAAGCGUGAGUGACGGUAAUGGGUAAAGAAGCACCGGCUAACUACGUG
RNAcentral lists this ribosomal RNA (468 nucleotides) under uncultured bacterium. RNAcentral's name for it is "partial 16S ribosomal RNA". It matches the Rfam family "Bacterial small subunit ribosomal RNA", at positions 28 to 507 of the family's 1533-position model. The record is from RNAcentral.